This 181-nucleotide small nucleolar RNA is filed under the name Ursus thibetanus thibetanus. Its description in RNAcentral is "Small nucleolar RNA U3 (ENSUTTG00000007770.1)". The stretch from base 65 to 176 matches the Rfam family "Small nucleolar RNA U3", at positions 81 to 214 of the family's 219-position model. From Rfam's summary of the family: Small nucleolar RNAs (snoRNAs) are involved in the processing and modification of rRNA in the nucleolus. There are two main classes of snoRNAs: the box C/D class, and the box H/ACA class. U3 snoRNA is a member of the box C/D class. The record is from RNAcentral. Lineage: Eukaryota; Metazoa; Chordata; Mammalia; Carnivora; Ursidae.
UUAGCUGUUUCAUUAUUUACAUCAUCCUAACACAACUUAAGAAUUCUUCUUAGGCCACGAGGGGGAGGAGGAGGUGCAGUGUUCCCUCCUGAGCAUGAUGCUGGCUUUAGGUAUUGAUCUUAGGUAUUGAUCAUUCUUCUCCUUUGGAGGAGUAAGCGGGAGAGGAUGCAGUCUGAGUGCU